UUGCACGCUGGCGGCAGGCCUAACACAUGCCAGUCGAGCGGAUGAAGGGAGCUUGCUCCUGGAUUCAGCGGCGGACGGGUGAGUAAUGCCUAGGAAUCUGCCGGGUAGUGGGGGAUAACGUCCGGAAACGGGCGCUAAUACCGCAUACGUCCUGAGGGAGAAAGUGGGGGAUCUUCGGACCUCACGCUAUCAGAUGAGCCUAGGUCGGAUUAGCUAGUUGGUGGGGUAAAGGCCUACCAAGGCGACGAUCCGUAACUGGUCUGAGAGGAUGAUCAGUCACACUGGAACUGAGACACGGUCCAGACUCCUACGGGAGGCAGCAGUGGGGAAUAUUGGACAAUGGGCGAAAGCCUGAUCCAGCCAUGCCGCGUGUGUGAAGAAGGUCUUCGGAUUGUAAAGCACUUUAAGUUGGGAGGAAGGGCAGUAAGUUAAUACCUUGCUGUUUUGACGUUACCAACAGAAUAAGCACCGGCUAACUUCGUG
RNAcentral lists this ribosomal RNA (483 nucleotides) under uncultured bacterium. Its description in RNAcentral is "partial 16S ribosomal RNA". It matches the Rfam family "Bacterial small subunit ribosomal RNA", at positions 30 to 507 of the family's 1533-position model. The record is from RNAcentral.